RNAcentral lists this ribosomal RNA (253 nucleotides) under uncultured bacterium. RNAcentral's name for it is "partial 16S ribosomal RNA". It matches the Rfam family "Bacterial small subunit ribosomal RNA", at positions 524 to 776 of the family's 1533-position model. The record is from RNAcentral.
UACAGAGGUCCCAAGCGUUGUCCGGAUUCACUGGGCGUAAAGGGUGCGUAGGUGGUGAGGUAAGUUUGAUGUGAAAUCUCCGGGCUCAACCCGGAAAUGGCAUUGAAUACUAUCUUGCUAGAGGAGUGGAGGGGGGACUGGAAUACUUGGUGUAGCAGUGAAAUGCGUAGAUAUCAAGUGGAACACCAGUGGCGAAGGCGAGUCCCUGGACACUUCCUGACACUGAGGCACGAAAGCUAGGGGAGCAAACAGG